AGCUUUGUGCAGUAGCAAUAUCAUAGCCAGUGAAGUUUAUCUGAGGCGCAAUUAUUGCUACUUGAAAACUUUUCCCAAUACUCC
Molecule: small nuclear RNA, 84 nt
Filed under: Saimiri boliviensis boliviensis (Bolivian squirrel monkey)
Lineage: Eukaryota; Metazoa; Chordata; Mammalia; Primates; Cebidae
Description: U4 spliceosomal RNA (ENSSBOG00000011165.1)
Rfam family: U4 spliceosomal RNA
About the family: U4 small nuclear RNA (U4 snRNA) is a component of the major U2-dependent spliceosome. The structure of U4 snRNA from yeast and human has been reported.
Source: RNAcentral